GAUGAACGCUGACAGAAUGCUUAACACAUGCAAGUCUUUGGCGAAGCUGUGCUCGCACAGCCUAGCCAAGGCGGACGGGUGAGUAACGCGUAAGGAACUUGCCCUGCAGUCAGGGAUAACAGACGGAAACGACUGAUAAGACCUGGUAAAGUCAGGCGGACUCAUGUCCAGCCUGAUGAAAAGAGAUGCUGCAGGAGAGCCUUGCGUCCUAUUAGCUUGUUGGUGGGGUAACGGCCCACCAAGGCGAUGAUAGGUAGCCGGCCUGAGAGGGUGGACGGCCACAAGGGGACUGAGAUACGGCCCUUACUCCUACGGGAGGCAGCAGUGGGGAAUAUUGGACAAUGGGGGCAACGCUGAUCCAGCACUUCUGUGUGCACGAUGAAGGUUUUCGGAUUGUAAAGGGCUUUCAGCAGGGAAGAAAAAAAUGACGGUACCUGCAGAAGAAGCGACGGCUAAAUACGUG
Molecule: ribosomal RNA, 463 nt
Filed under: uncultured bacterium
Lineage: Bacteria
Description: partial 16S ribosomal RNA
Rfam family: Bacterial small subunit ribosomal RNA
Source: RNAcentral